GAUGAAGAACGCAGCGAAAUGCGAUAAGUAAUGUGAAUUGCAGAAUUCAGUGAAUCAUCGAAUCUUUGAACGCACAUUGCGCCCUCUGGUAUUCCGGGGGGCAUGCCUGUUCGAGCGUCAUUAUAACCACUCAAGCUCUCGCUUGGUAUUGGGGUUCGCGGUUCCGCGGCCCCUAAAAUCAGUGGCGGUGCCUGUCGACUCUACGCGUAGUAAUACUCCUCGCGAUUGAGUCCGGUAGGUCUACUUGCCAGCAACCCCCAAUUUUUACAGGUUGACCUCGGAUCAGGUAGGGAUACCCGCUGAACUUAAGCAUAUCAAUAAGCGGAGGA
RNAcentral lists this unclassified non-coding RNA (329 nucleotides) under soil metagenome. RNAcentral's name for it is "partial contains 5.8S ribosomal RNA, internal transcribed spacer 2, and large subunit ribosomal RNA". The stretch from base 1 to 120 matches the Rfam family "5.8S ribosomal RNA", at positions 35 to 154 of the family's 154-position model. The record is from RNAcentral.